UCUGUGAGUGUGUGUAUUUGUGUCUGUGUUUGAGAGUGUGUGUCUGUGAGUGUGUGUAUUUGUGUGUGUGUUUGAAAGAGUGUGUGUCUGUGAGUGUGUGUAUUUGUGUGUGUGUUUGAGAGAGUGUGUGUCUGUGAGUGUGUGUAUUUGUGUGUGUGUUUGAGAGUGUGUGUCUGUGAGUGUGUGUAUUUG
This is a long non-coding RNA of Xyrauchen texanus (razorback sucker), 192 nucleotides long. RefSeq lists it as uncharacterized. The record is from RefSeq and is a predicted model, not a curated record. Lineage: Eukaryota; Metazoa; Chordata; Actinopteri; Cypriniformes; Catostomidae. The transcript has 3 exons.